UACAGAGGUCUCAAGCGUUGUUCGGAUUCAUUGGGCGUAAAGGGUGCGUAGGUGGCGCCGUAAGUCGGGUGUGAAAUUUCGGAGCUUAACUCCGAAACUGCAUUCGAUACUGCGGUGCUUGAGGACUGGAGAGGAGACUGGAAUUCAUGGUGUAGCAGUGAAAUGGGUAGAUAUCGUAAGGAAGACCAGUGGCGAAGGCGGGUCUCUGGACAGUUCCUGACGCUGAGGCACGAAGGCCAGGGGAGCAAACGGG
RNAcentral lists this ribosomal RNA (253 nucleotides) under uncultured bacterium. RNAcentral's name for it is "partial 16S ribosomal RNA". It matches the Rfam family "Bacterial small subunit ribosomal RNA", at positions 524 to 776 of the family's 1533-position model. The record is from RNAcentral.